GAUGAACGCUGGCGGCGUGCCUAAUACAUGCAAGUCGAGCGAACAGACGAGGAGCUUGCUCCUCUGACGUUAGCGGCGGACGGGUGAGUAACACGUGGAUAACCUACCUAUAAGACUGGGAUAACUUCGGGAAACCGGAGCUAAUACCGGAUAAUAUAUUGAACCGCAGGGUUCAAUAGUGAAAGACGGCUUUGCUGUCACUUAUAGAUGGAUCCGCGCCGCAUUAGCUAGUUGGUAAGGUAACGGCUUAGCAAGGCAACGAUGCGUAGCCGAGCUGAGAGGGUGAUCGGCCACACUGGAACGGAGACACGGUCCAGACUCCUACGGGAGGCAGCAGUAGGGAAUCUUCCGCAAUGGGCGAAAGCUUGACGGAGCAACGCCGCGUGAGUGAUGAAGGUCUUGGGAUCGUAAAACUCUGUUAUUAGGGAAGAACAAAUGUGUAAGUAACUAUGCACGUCUUGACGGUACCUAAUCAGAAAGCCACGGCUAACUACGUG
Molecule: ribosomal RNA, 497 nt
Filed under: uncultured bacterium
Lineage: Bacteria
Description: partial 16S ribosomal RNA
Rfam family: Bacterial small subunit ribosomal RNA
Source: RNAcentral